GAUGAACGCUGGCGGCGUGCCUAAUACAUGCAAGUCGAGCGAACAGACGAGGAGCUUGCUCCUCUGACGUUAGCGGCGGACGGGUGAGUAACACGUGGAUAACCUACCUAUAUGACUGGGAUAAUUUCGGGAAACCGGAGCUAAUACCGGAUAAUAUAUUGAACCGCAUGGUUCAAUAGUGAAAGACGGUUUUGCUGUUACUUAUAGAUGGAUCCGCGCCGCAUUAGCUAGUUGGUAAGGUAACGGCUUACCAAGGCGACGAUGCGUAGCCGACCUGAGAGGGUGAUCGGCCACACUGGAACUGAGACACGGUCCAGACUCCUACGGGAGGCAGCAGUAGGGAAUCUUGCGCAAUGGGCGAAAGCCUGACGGAGCAACGCCGCGUGAGUGAUGAAGGUCUUCGGAUCGUAAAACUCUGUUAUUAGGGAAGAACAAAUGUGUAAGUAACUAUGCACGUCUUGACGGUACCUAAUCAGAAAGCCACGGCUAACUACGUG
This 497-nucleotide ribosomal RNA is filed under the name uncultured bacterium. RNAcentral describes it as "partial 16S ribosomal RNA". It matches the Rfam family "Bacterial small subunit ribosomal RNA", at positions 28 to 507 of the family's 1533-position model. The record is from RNAcentral.